This 440-nucleotide ribosomal RNA is filed under the name uncultured bacterium. RNAcentral's name for it is "partial 16S ribosomal RNA". It matches the Rfam family "Bacterial small subunit ribosomal RNA", at positions 338 to 795 of the family's 1533-position model. The record is from RNAcentral.
CCUACGGGUGGCAGCAGUGGGGAAUAUUGCACAAUGGGGGGAACCCUGAUGCAGCGACGCCGCGUGAGUGAAGAAGUAUUUCGGUAUGUAAAGCUCUAUCAGCAGGGAAGAAAAUGACGGUACCUGACUAAGAAGCCCCGGCUAACUACGUGCCAGCAGCCGCGGUAAUACGUAGGUGGCAAGCGUUAUCCGGAUUUACUGGGUGUAAAGGGCGUGUAGGCGGGAUAGCAAGUCAGAUGUGAAAACCCUGGGCUCAACCUGUGGCCUGCAUUUGAUACUGGUAUUCUUGAGUACUGUAGAGGCAGACAGAAUUCCUAGUGUAGCGGUGAAAUGCGUAGAUAUUAGGAGGAACACCAGUGGCGAAGGCGGUCUGCUGGACAGCAACUGACGCUGAGGUGCGAAAGCGUGGGGAGCAAACAGGAUUAGAUACCCCUGUAGUC